GUAGAUAGAUAUGCAGAGGAAAUCAUGUUGAACUAGAUUGGAGGUAGAUAGAUAUGCAGAGGAAAUCAUGUUGAACUAGAUUGGAGGUAGAUAGAUAUGCAGAGGAAAUCAUGUUGAACUGGAUUGGAGGUAGAUAGAUAUGCAGAGGAAAUCAUGUUGAACUGGAUUGGAGGUAGAUAGAUAUGCAGAGGAAAUCAUGAUGAACUGGAUUGGAGGUAGAUAGAUAUGCAGAGGAAAUCAUGAUGAACUGGAUUGGAGGUAGAUAGAUAUGCAGAGGAAAUCAUGAUGAACUGGAUUGGAGGUAGAUAGAUAUGCAGAGGAAAUCAUGUUGAACUAGAUUGGAGGUAGAUAGAUAUGCAGAGGAAAUCAUGUUGAACUGGAUUGGAGGUAGAUAGAUAUGCAGAGGAAAUCAUGUUGAACUAGAUUGGAGGUAGAUAGAUAUGCAGAGGAAAUCAUGCUGAACUAGAUUGGAGGUAGAUAGAUAUGCAGAGGAAAUUAUGAUGAACUAGAUUGGAGGUAGAUAGAUAUGCAGAGGAAAUCAUGUUGAACUGGAUUGGAGGUAGAUAGAUAUGCAGAGGAAAUCAUGAUGAACUGGAUUGGAGGUAGAUAGAUAUGCAGAGGAAAUCAUAUUGAACUGGAUUGGAGGUAGAUAGAUAUGCAGAGGAAAUUAUGUUGAACUAGAUUGGAGGUAGAUAGAUAUGCAGAGGAAAUCAUGUUGAACUAGAUUGGAGGUAGAUAGAUAUGCAGAGGAAAUCAUGUUGAACUAGAUUGGAGGUAGAUAGAUAUGCAGAGGAAAUCAUGUUGAACUAGAUUGGUAUGGUUAAUUUCGAAGGGUGGGUGGGAGAGGGAGUGUUUGAAGGCUGUCGUAGUGAGAUAGAUAGAUAAAUAAAAAAGGUAUGUAGAGGAAUAUAUGUAGAACGAAAUGGCUGAAGAGAUAUGGGUAAGUUAAAACAGGAAGGGAUGAAAGCUAGAUAGAAGAACAGACAUACGUAGAUAGUUGCACUUUGGAGUUGAUGUAGAAGUAGAUAGAUAGAUCAGGUUGUUACAUAAAUGAACAGAAAGGUGGAUGGUCAGAGGAUUUUUUUUUUUAUUAUUUUUUUUUUACAACAAAGGAGACAGCUCAAGGGCACAAAAAAAGAAACAAUAAUAAAAAAAGCCCGCUAGACAGUAAUAAAAAAAAAGCCCGCUAAUAAAGAAAAGGAUUCAGAAGAUUGGUAAAAAGUUGAAAUUAAGUUAGAUAUAAGAAUAGAUGGAUAGAUGUGGAGAGGAGUAGAUACAUAAAUAGAUAGGCUAAUAGAUAACAUGAUAGAUCGAGAACAUACAUAGAUAGAUUGGAUAGGUAUUGAUUUAGAAGUACAUAAGUAAAUAGAUGACAGGUAGCAGAUCAAGAACAGACAUAGAUAGAUCGGAUAGGUAUUGAUUUAGAAGUACAUAAGUAAAUAGAUGACAGGUAGCUUCUUAUAAUAAAAAAAAAAAACAUUACAGGUAGAUAAGUAGAUAGUGAAUAAUGAUAAUGAUAAUAGUUACCUUGAUCCACAGUAGAUAAUUUGGAUAGGUUAGUUGAAUAAAGGGAUAAACAAUAAUAGGUAAAAAAUCUAUCCUAUUUAUAUGUAAAGUUGUAGUAGUAAUAGUAGUAGUAGUAGUAGUAGUAGUAGUAGUAGUAGUAGUAGUAGUAGUUAUGUUUUUCACCGUGUAGGGAAAUAUGCUGACAGGGAAAGGUUAGGUAUAAACAAAAAAACAUAAAUAUUAGUAAAGGUGGUGGUGGUGGUGUUGUUCUUCCUGGUAGUGGUGGUGAUGAUGGUGGUGGUGACGCUGGUGAUGAUGGUGUUGUUCCUGGUAGUGGUGGUGGUGAUGGUGGUAGUAGUGAUGACGAUGGUGGUGGUGGUGGUGACGCUGGUGAUGAUGGUGUUGUUCCUUGUGGUGGUGAGGUGGGAUUCCUGGAACACACACACACACACACACACACACACACACCACCACCACCACGCCAGGAUCACGUGAGGGUUGCCUACAAAAACGCACCCACCCCCUCAACUCCCCCUCUCUCACCCACUCCCUCCCUCCCUCCCUCCCUC
Molecule: long non-coding RNA, 2075 nt
Organism: Eriocheir sinensis (Chinese mitten crab)
Lineage: Eukaryota; Metazoa; Arthropoda; Malacostraca; Decapoda; Varunidae
Exons: 3
Source: RefSeq, a predicted model, not a curated record